UACGGAAGGCAGCAGUGGGGAAUAUUGCACAAUGGGCGCAAGCCUGAUGCAGCCAUGCCGCGUGUAUGAAGAAGGCCUUCGGGUUGUAAAGUACUUUCAGUCGUGAGGAAGGUGUUAAGGUUAAUAACCUUAGCAAUUGACGUUAGCGACAGAAGAAGCACCGGCUAACUCCGUGCCAGCAGCCGCGGUAAUACGGAGGGUGCGAGCGUUAAUCGGAAUUACUGGGCGUAAAGGGCACGCAGGCGGUUAAUUAAGUUGGAUGUGAAAUCCCCGGGCUUAACCUGGGAAUGGCAUUCAAGCUGGUUAGCUAGAGUCUUGUGGAGGGGGUGAAUUCCAUGUGUAGCGGUGAAAUGCGUAGAGAUGUGGAGGAAUACCGGUGGCGAAGGCGGCCCCUGGGCAAAGGCUGACGCUCAUGUGCGAAAGCGUGGGGAGCGAAACAGGGAUUAGAUACC
This 452-nucleotide ribosomal RNA is filed under the name uncultured bacterium. RNAcentral describes it as "bacterial SSU rRNA". It matches the Rfam family "Bacterial small subunit ribosomal RNA", at positions 340 to 786 of the family's 1533-position model. The record is from RNAcentral.